Molecule: ribosomal RNA, 480 nt
Filed under: uncultured Micromonospora sp.
Lineage: Bacteria; Bacillati; Actinomycetota; Actinomycetes; Micromonosporales; Micromonosporaceae
Description: bacterial SSU rRNA
Rfam family: Bacterial small subunit ribosomal RNA
Source: RNAcentral
AGAGUUUGAUCCUGGCUCAGGACGAACGCUGGCGGCGUGCUUAACACAUGCAAGUCGAGCGGAAAGGCCCUUCGGGGUACUCGAGCGGCGAACGGGUGAGUAACACGUGAGCAACCUGCCCCAGGCUUUGGGAUAACCCCGGGAAACCGGGCUAAUACCGAAUAGGACCUGGCCUCGCAUGAGGCUGGGUGGAAAGUUUUUCGGCUUGGGAUGGGCUCGCGGCCUAUCAGCUUGUUGGUGGGGUGAUGGCCUACCAAGGCGACGACGGGUAGCCGGCCUGAGAGGGCGACCGGCCACACUGGGACUGAGACACGGCCCAGACUCCUACGGGAGGCAGCAGUGGGGAAUAUUGCACAAUGGGCGGAAGCCUGAUGCAGCGACGCCGCGUGAGGGAUGACGGCCUUCGGGUUGUAAACCUCUUUCAGCAGGGACGAAGCGUAGGUGACGGUACCUGCAGAAGAAGCGCCGGCCAACUACGUG